UGUUUGAUCAUGGCUCAGGACGAACGCUGGCGGCGUGCUUAACACAUGCAAGUCGAACGAGAUUCAGUGAGUAGCAAUACUCACGAAGAUCUAGUGGCGAACGGGUGCGUAACACGUGAGGAACUUGUCCCGGUCUCUGGGAUAACAGUUGGAAACGACUGCUAAUACCGGAUGACGUCGGAACUUCGCAUGGGGUACUGACGAAAGGGUUACUGGAUCGGGAGAGCCUCGCGGCCUAUCAGCUUGUUGGUGGGGUAAUGGCCUACCAAGGCAUCGACGGGUAGCUGGUCUGAGAGGAUGAUCAGCCACACUGGGACUGAGACACGGCCCAGACUCCUACGGGAGGCAGCAGUGGGGAAUCUUGCACAAUGGGCGAAAGCCUGAUGCAGCAACGCCGCGUGCGGGAAGAAGGCCCUCGGGUUGUAAACCGCUUUCAGAAGGAACGAAACUGACGGUACUUUCAGAAGAAGGUGCGGCCAACUACGUGCCAGCAGCCGCGGUGACACGUAGGCACCAAGCGUUGUCCGGAUUUAUUGGGCGUAAAGAGCUCGUAGGCGGUUCAGUAAGUCGGGUGUGAAAACUUUGGGCUUAACCCAAAGCGUGCAUCCGAUACUGCUGUGACUUGAGUACGGUAGGGGAGCGGGGAAUUCCUAGUGUAGCGGUGAAAUGCGCAGAUAUUAGGAGGAACACCGGUGGCGAAGGCGCCGCUCUGGGCCGAAACUGACGCUGAGGAGCGAAAGCAUGGGUAGCAAACAGGAUUAGAUACCCUGGUAGUCCAUGCCGUAAACGUUGGGCACUAGGUGUGGGUUCCAACCAACGGAAUCCGCGCCGUCGCUAACGCAUUAAGUGCCCCGCCUGGGGAGUACGGCCGCAAGGUUAAAACUCAAAGGAAUUGACGGA
Molecule: ribosomal RNA, 900 nt
Filed under: uncultured bacterium
Lineage: Bacteria
Description: bacterial SSU rRNA
Rfam family: Bacterial small subunit ribosomal RNA
Source: RNAcentral